CAGCAGCCGCGGGAAUACGAGGGGGGCAAGCGUUAUUCGGAAUUAUUGGGCGUAAAGGGCGCGUAGGCGGUUUGACAAGUUUGGUGUGAAAUCUAUGGGCUCAACCCAUAGCCUGCAUCGAAAACUGUCGGGCUUGAGUAUGGGAGAGGUGGGUGGAAUUUCCGGUGUAGCGGUGAAAUGCGUAGAUAUCGGAAGGAACACCUGUGGCGAAAGCGGCUCACUGGACCAUUACUGACGCUGAGGCGCGAAAGCUAGGGGAGCAAACAGGAUUAGAGACCCCAGUAGUCUCUGUCUCUUAUAA
This 301-nucleotide ribosomal RNA is filed under the name uncultured bacterium. RNAcentral describes it as "partial 16S ribosomal RNA". It matches the Rfam family "Bacterial small subunit ribosomal RNA", at positions 509 to 809 of the family's 1533-position model. The record is from RNAcentral.